CCUACGGGUGGCAGCAGUGAGGAAUAUUGGUCAAUGGGCGUAAGCCUGAACCAGCCAAGUCGCGUGAGGGAUGAAGGUUCUAUGGAUCGUAAACCUCUUUUAUAAGGGAAUAAAGUGCGGGACGUGUCCCGUUUUGUAUGUACCUUAUGAAUAAGGAUCAGCUAACUCCGUGCCAGCAGCCGCGGUAAUCCGGAGGAUCCGAGCGUUAUCCGGAUUUAUUGGGUUUAAGGGGUGCGUAGGCGGGAUGCCAAGUCAGCGGUCAAAUACGGGGGCUCAACCUGCGUCCGCCGUUGAAACUGGCGUUAUUGAGUGGGCGAGAAGUACGCGGAAUGCGUGGUGUAGCGGUGAAAUGCAUAGAUAGCACGCAGAACCCCGAUUGCGAAGGCAGCGUACCGGCGCCCGACUGACGCUGAAGCACGAAAGCGUGGGUAUCGAACAGGAUUAGAGACCCGAGUAGUC
This 459-nucleotide ribosomal RNA is filed under the name uncultured bacterium. Its description in RNAcentral is "partial 16S ribosomal RNA". It matches the Rfam family "Bacterial small subunit ribosomal RNA", at positions 338 to 795 of the family's 1533-position model. The record is from RNAcentral.